This 600-nucleotide ribosomal RNA is filed under the name Escherichia coli. RNAcentral's name for it is "partial 23S ribosomal RNA". It matches the Rfam family "Bacterial large subunit ribosomal RNA", at positions 1 to 641 of the family's 2925-position model. The record is from RNAcentral. Lineage: Bacteria; Pseudomonadati; Pseudomonadota; Gammaproteobacteria; Enterobacterales; Enterobacteriaceae.
GUUAAGCGACUAAGCGUACACGGUGGAUGCCCUGGCAGUCAGAGGCGAUGAAGGACGUGCUAAUCUGCGAUAAGCGUCGGUAAGGUGAUAUGAACCGUUAUAACCGGCGAUUUCCGAAUGGGGAAACCCAGUGUGUUUCGACACACUAUCAUUAACUGAAUCCAUAGGUUAAUGAGGCGAACCGGGGGAACUGAAACAUCUAAGUACCCCGAGGAAAAGAAAUCAACCGAGAUUCCCCCAGUAGCGGCGAGCGAACGGGGAGCAGCCCAGAGCCUGAAUCAGUGUGUGUGUUAGUGGAAGCGUCUGGAAAGGCGCGCGAUACAGGGUGACAGCCCCGUACACAAAAAUGCACAUGCUGUGAGCUCGAUGAGUAGGGCGGGACACGUGGUAUCCUGUCUGAAUAUGGGGGGACCAUCCUCCAAGGCUAAAUACUCCUGACUGACCGAUAGUGAACCAGUACCGUGAGGGAAAGGCGAAAAGAACCCCGGCGAGGGGAGUGAAAAAGAACCUGAAACCGUGUACGUACAAGCAGUGGGAGCCUCUUUUAUGGGGUGACUGCGUACCUUUUGUAUAAUGGGUCAGCGACUUAUAUUCUGUAGC